This is a long non-coding RNA of Daphnia magna, 1628 nucleotides long. RefSeq lists it as uncharacterized. The transcript is spliced from 10 exons. The record is from RefSeq and is a predicted model, not a curated record. Lineage: Eukaryota; Metazoa; Arthropoda; Branchiopoda; Diplostraca; Daphniidae.
ACAGAAGGCAGCUCCUAUUAAACUCAUUACGACGUUUCUUCUCUUGGAUAACAUUUGCAGCAGGAACGUAUCCACCAUUUUCGAACCUUUGGGGGCCACAGUUCGUCUACGAUUACGAAGUUUUAACAAAUGGCUAGAACUGACACAAAACAUAACAACACGAGGACUGAAAAUGACUAAAGGAACCAUAAAAUGCAAUUGAGGAGAUUUUUCUUGGCUGAGCAAACACGGGUUAAAGUCCCUGUGGUAGGCGGAAACGUCCGGAGUAACUACAAGUAUACGAUUUUUUCAGCCUUCACAAUUAUGUAACCGCAACCUUUGAAACCACUCCUUUAAAAAGCAACCAUAAUAGCCUUUCCAACAGACAUACGUGAAAGCCGCUUUUCUUUAACAAGUGUUCUUUUAAGGUAAACACAAGUAAAAAUGAACCAAAUCAUCUGAGACGACAUCAAUUUUUCGUUCUAAACAAUCACACAAGAAUGCAACUUGCAACCCCACCAGUUGAGGAAUGCUAAGAUUCAAUUUUGAGAAAAGAAGAAACACCUGUGAAAAUCUCAAUAACACAAGCUAGUCGUUUAUCAGAGACAUAUCGCUAUGCGGAUAUGCUAGCUUUAUUUCCUGAGGCGAAACGUACCGCUCUCGCUCACGAUAUCCUUGCGUUGCGGCGAUAACAGCAAGCCAAAAGUAAAAAGCCGAAGCUGCGCAGGAAAUGAAGAUCGAUGAAAAAAAGAAAUAAAGCAAGAGCAUUUUUAUCGUUAUGGAGCAGAUUUACCUAUCACGAUAAGCAUGAGGACGCAAAGGAGUAUUGAAUUCGCUAGGUGUUACAAUCCAUUUGUUUCUUGCUGACGAGGAUUGAGCAACACCAGACUAAGAAAACAAAUGCGGUAAAAAAGAGGAGCUGCCUGAAAAAUUCGGCUAUUGUCCACAGCAUGAGAAUACGCCAAGAUUCCUACAUGCGAAAACGAUUGGAAAGUUUGAAUCUGCAACCAAGACAAAACACAUGAAUCGCCAAAACCGACCUUCACCGCGCCAAUAAACAGGAGCAGACACAGUAAAAAAUAGAGUGAAUUGAGUACAAUACUCGCCAUUAUCACGUUACGCAUGGCUGCAAAAUCAACAAUGGAACACAGUUUACUACAUCGUACUUGUCGUUGGCUGGCUCGUCACGUACGAUGGAAGCCAAAAACGGUAUCAAACUUUUAUUGAAGUAAGCCAGUAGCAAACCCAGCCCAAGCAAAACAAGUCCAGUGAAAAGCUAGGCAGCGAUCAACAAACUACCCGUACGCGGACUGCAGCAGCAACAAGAUCGCAUUACGGCCAUUUUCCUUUGAAUUUAAUUUCAAUGAAAUGACCGUACAACUGAUACCUACAAAGCUCUGCGGCGAAAUGCGUAUUACGUACUUUGAUAAGGUACAUAAAACUGCUGUAGCAGGCAUGCCAUAUUUGAUUGAUAGCAUGAGCAUAUACUCUAGAGGAAGUGUUAGCAGCGAACGUCACGUUUAGAUACGGGCAUGGCAUGAACACCAACGGUGAAGUACGUAAUUGAAAAAGAAGAGUGCAAUACGCGUAUGAGGCAUCAUAUACUUCAGACUGCACUGGAAACAAUAAAUGUAAGGAGUUCUUUCAUA